RNAcentral lists this transfer RNA (67 nucleotides) under Hydromantes brunus (limestone salamander). RNAcentral describes it as "tRNA-Cys". The record is from RNAcentral. Lineage: Eukaryota; Metazoa; Chordata; Amphibia; Caudata; Plethodontidae.
AGUUCUGUGGUGUAUAAGCAAAUGAAAUUGCAAAUUUCAGAGAGCAGAUAAUUUUCUGUCGGGGCUU